Molecule: unclassified non-coding RNA, 20 nt
Filed under: Mus musculus (house mouse)
Lineage: Eukaryota; Metazoa; Chordata; Mammalia; Rodentia; Muridae
Description: oocyte_clustered_small_RNA398
Source: RNAcentral
CGCCGCCGCUACCACUGCCU